This 484-nucleotide ribosomal RNA is filed under the name uncultured bacterium. RNAcentral describes it as "partial 16S ribosomal RNA". It matches the Rfam family "Bacterial small subunit ribosomal RNA", at positions 30 to 507 of the family's 1533-position model. The record is from RNAcentral.
AUUGAACGCUGGCGGCAUGCCUUACACAUGCAAGUCGAACGGCAGCGCGGGCUUCGGCCUCGCGUCCAGUGGCGAACGGGUGAGUAAUACAUCGGAACGUGCCCAGCUGUGGGGGAUAGCUCGGCGAAAGCCGGAUUAAUACCGUAUACGACCUGAGGGUGAAAGCGGGGGAUCUUCGGACCUCGCGAUAUUGCAGCAGCCGAUGGCAGAUUAGCUAGUUGGUGGGGUAAAGGCCUACCAAGGCGACGAUCUGUAGCUGGUCUGAGAGGACGACCAGCCACACUGGGACUGAGACACGGCCCAGACUCCUACGGGAGGCAGCAGUGGGGAAUUUUGGACAAUGGGCGAAAGCCUGAUCCAGCAAUGCCGCGUGUGUGAUGAAGGCCUUCGGGUUGUAAAGCACUUUUGGCGGGAACGAAAAGGACUGUGCCAAUACCACGCUUCGAUGACGGUACCCGAAGAAUAAGCACCGGCUAACUACGUG